GACGAACGCUGGCGGCGUGCCUAAUACAUGCAAGUAGAACGCUGAAGGAGGAGCUUGCUUCUCUGGAUGAGUUGCGAACGGGUGAGUAACGCGUAGGUAACCUGCCUGGUAGCGGGGGAUAACUAUUGGAAACGAUAGCUAAUACCGCAUAAUAGUAGAUGUUGCAUGACAUUUUCUUAAAAGGUGCAAUUGCAUCACUACCAGAUGGACCUGCGUUGUAUUAGCUAGUUGGUGGGGUAACGGCUCACCAAGGCGACGAUACAUAGCCGACCUGAGAGGGUGAUCGGCCACACUGGGACUGAGACAAGGCCCAGACUACUACGGGAGGCAGCAGUAGGGAAUCUUAGGAAAUGGACGGAAGUCUGACCGAGCAAAGCCGCGUGAGUGAAGAAGGUUUUCGGAUCGUAAAGCUCUGUUGUAAGAGAAGAAAGAGUGUGAGAGUGGAAAGUUCACACUGUGACGGUAUCUUAACAGAAAGGGACGGCUAACUACGUG
This 495-nucleotide ribosomal RNA is filed under the name uncultured bacterium. RNAcentral's name for it is "partial 16S ribosomal RNA". It matches the Rfam family "Bacterial small subunit ribosomal RNA", at positions 28 to 507 of the family's 1533-position model. The record is from RNAcentral.